GUGAAGAAGGCCUUCGGGUUGUAAAGCACUUUCAGUAGGGAGGAAGGCUUACCGCUAAUAACGGUGAGUACUUGACGUUACCUACAGAAGAAGCACCGGCUAAUUUCGUGCCAGCAGCCGCGGUAAUACGAAAGGUGCGAGCGUUAAUCGGAAUUACUGGGCGUAAAGCGCACGCAGGCGGUUUGUUAAGCUAGAUGUGAAAGCCCCGGGCUCAACCUGGGAAUUGCAUUUGAAACUGGCAGGCUAGAGUGCAGUAGAGGGAGGUGGAAUUUCCGGUGUAGCGGUGAAAUGCGUAGA
This 297-nucleotide ribosomal RNA is filed under the name Symbiodinium sp. Mp. RNAcentral's name for it is "partial Bacterial small subunit ribosomal RNA". It matches the Rfam family "Bacterial small subunit ribosomal RNA", at positions 405 to 694 of the family's 1533-position model. Lineage: Eukaryota; Dinophyceae; Suessiales; Symbiodiniaceae. The record is from RNAcentral.